This 403-nucleotide ribosomal RNA is filed under the name Verrucomicrobiota bacterium. Its description in RNAcentral is "Verrucomicrobia bacterium partial 16S ribosomal RNA". It matches the Rfam family "Bacterial small subunit ribosomal RNA", at positions 355 to 776 of the family's 1533-position model. The record is from RNAcentral. Lineage: Bacteria; Pseudomonadati; Verrucomicrobiota.
UGGGGAAUAUUGCACAAUGGGCGCAAGCCUGAUGCAGCAACGCCGCGUGAACGAUGAAGGUCUUCGGAUCGUAAAGUUCUGUUGCAGGGGAAGAUAAUGACGGUACCCUGUGAGGAAGCCCCGGCUAACUACGUGCCAGCAGCCGCGGUAAUACGUAGGGGGCUAGCGUUAUCCGGAUUUACUGGGCGUAAAGGGUGCGUAGGUGGUCUUUCAAGUCGGUGGUUAAAGGCUACGGCUCAACCGUAGUUAGCCUCCGAAACUGGAAGACUUGAGUGCAGGAGAGGAAAGUGGAAUUCCCAGUGUAGCGGUGAAAUGCGUAGAUAUUGGGAGGAACACCAGUAGCGAAGGCGGCUUUCUGGACUGCAACUGACUCUGAGGCACGAAAGCGUGGGUAGCAAACAGG